Molecule: ribosomal RNA, 253 nt
Filed under: uncultured bacterium
Lineage: Bacteria
Description: partial 16S ribosomal RNA
Rfam family: Bacterial small subunit ribosomal RNA
Source: RNAcentral
UACAGAGGGUGCAAGCGUUAAUCGGAAUUACUGGGCGUAAAGCGUGCGUAGUCGGCCAUUUAAGUCGGGUGUGAAAUCCCCGGGCUCAACCUGGGAAUUGCAUUCGAUACUGGAUGGCUAGAGUUCGGCAGAGGGAAGCGGAAUUUCCGGUGUAGCGGUGAAAUGCGUAGAUAUCGGAAGGAACAUCAGUGGCGAAGGCGGCCGCCGAGCCUGUUUCUGACGCUGAAGCGCGACAGCGUGGGGAGCAAACGGG